Molecule: small nucleolar RNA, 129 nt
Filed under: Dasypus novemcinctus (nine-banded armadillo)
Lineage: Eukaryota; Metazoa; Chordata; Mammalia; Cingulata; Dasypodidae
Description: Small nucleolar RNA SNORA17 (ENSDNOG00000029498.1)
Rfam family: Small nucleolar RNA SNORA17
About the family: snoRNA ACA 17 belongs to the H/ACA family of snoRNAs and is predicted to guide pseudouridylation of the 28S rRNA at positions U4659 and U4598. It shares the same host gene together with ACA43.
Source: RNAcentral
CCUGCCCCUACAGGCAUUGCAGCUAUAGCUGUCAUGUCCCAGUUGUGUCAUGGGUGGUGGAGAGGAAGAGGCACCAUCUACUCUGAGUGCUCCUGGAUUGUGAACCCCCAGAAUACUGGCAGCUGCAGA